Molecule: ribosomal RNA, 460 nt
Filed under: uncultured bacterium
Lineage: Bacteria
Description: partial 16S ribosomal RNA
Rfam family: Bacterial small subunit ribosomal RNA
Source: RNAcentral
CCUACGGGUGGCAACAGUGAGGAAUAUUGGUCAAUGGACGCAAGUCUGAACCAGCCAUGCCGCGUGCAGGAAGACGGCUCUAUGAGUUGUAAACUGCUUUUGUACGAGAGUAAACGCAGAUACGUGUAUCUGUCUGACAGUAUCGUACGAAUAAGGAUCGGCUAACUCCGUGCCAGCAGCCGCGGUAAUACGGAGGAUUCAAGCGUUAUCCGGAUUUAUUGGGGUUAAAGGGUGCGUAGGCGGUCGGAUAAGUUAGAGGUGAAAUCCCGAGGCUCAACUUCGGAAUUGCCUCUGAUACUGUUCGGCUAGAGAGGAGUUGCGGUAGGCGGAAUGUAUGGUGUAGCGGUGAAAUGCUUAGAGAUCAUACAGAACACCGAUUGCGAAGGCAGCUUACCAAGCUACUUCUGACGUUGAGGCACGAAAGCGUGGGUAGCAAACAGGAUUAGAUACCCGGGUAGUC